AUCAGGUACGGGCUUUCAAUUUUUAUCAUUUCGAAUGUUCAUUUUGACAUUUCUAAGUUCUAACUUGACAUUUCCUAGUUUGAACAUAAAAUAAGGAGAUGAUCGCCAAUGAAACAGCUAUUCUUCAGAUACCAAUGACGUAGAUGUUGGAAAUAAAUAGGUUGUCGUACGUCCUUCAACAAUGACCAAAACCGAUACUACAUAGCAAGCUAGAAAAUGUCCCGACAAAAUAAAACGGAAAACAAACUCAAAUGCGAAAUCCAACAACCAGGUUUAAGUACAAAAGAACCAACCCGAGACAGGUGUGUAACGUAAGAACACAAGAACACAUUAUAUAAUCAGUUAUAAAGGGCGUGACUCAUCAGAUCAAAACAAAACAAAACAAGCAACUAACAAAAACACUAUUGAAAUGGCUGAUGUUAUCCCCUAUAACUUGCGACAACUUAAAAACUUUUACUGGUUGUCCAUAAAAGGAAAUAUGUUUCAGAUCGAAAGGAAUAGACCUUUGUUUAUAAUCUUUUGUCAAUUAUAUCAAUCAAGCACAUAAUUUUUCAAAAACAAAUGUUUUUAUUAACAAUAUUCUAAAACAAAUAUACCGAGGCUAUUAUAUGUAUUUAUGGUUGUUAUAAUGUUUUUUAUGAUAUAUAGAUGUGGUACUUUAUUUAUUCAUAAAUCAUGUUUCAUUUACGUAAGAUACAAAUAUGUUUUAAGAAAAGAUAUAAGAAUGUACAUGUAAGUUAUUUUCAUGUAGGUUAGAAAAAUAAUGAUACUCCAUUAGUACACAGAUUGGACUAAAUAGAUCUCUCAGGUCCAUAAUAAGGUCGUGUUUGAUUGCAAGAAAACCAGAUAUGGUUUCAAAAUCCGGUCUUUCAAAAACUUACAAAUGCCUCCUCCAUAAAAAGUAAGAAAAACGAGUAUAUCAAAACUUUAUAGAAUAGCGACAAAUGCAUAUUAGCAACUGCUGUCGUCAUAUUUUUUUCUUUUAUAUAGUACAUUAUAUCCAAAAUGUUACAAUUUUUACAUUUUUUUAAAAAUUCCGUUUUACAUAAAAUCAACUGAUGUCUCUCGCUAAUAAAUUUACUUUUGCACAUAUAGUGUUUGCAUAUUUCAUCCGGAUCAAUGACCACAACACUACAUUUCAUUGAUGAUUUUAUCCCAAAUCACUUUUCUAAAGAUGGACUCGUCUAUAAUAAACGAACCAGUUAUAUAACGCUCAUUUUGACUCUGAUAAAUCUUGUUUAAGGGCAGGUUUCAUCGUUACCUAAAUCUGAAAAAAUCCGUAAAAUAAUUUGUUGGUUUUCAAACCAGGUUCUUUGUAAUCAAACACGGCCAAACUGUUUUGUGUAUAUGUCAAACACUCGUCGUGAACAAGUUAUGAUUUUGUAUUAGCUAUGGCUCUAGUAAUACGAAUUGAUGUUUUACAAUUUUUAUUAUUUGACCCAGGUUUCCUAUUAUUGUUAAUGAAUGUUUAAAGAAUAUAUUUAGUUUGCGUCAUGUGAACAGGUUUAAUUUAACCAUUUCAUUCAAACUCUUUAUUGUGAAUAUACAUAUUGAAGAUGAACGUAUUGUAUUCUGCAAAGGAAAUUAUGUUGUUAUUUUUUGGUUUCCC
RNAcentral lists this long non-coding RNA (1609 nucleotides) under Mytilus galloprovincialis (Mediterranean mussel). The record is from RNAcentral. Lineage: Eukaryota; Metazoa; Mollusca; Bivalvia; Mytilida; Mytilidae.